UACAGAGGGUGCAAGCGUUAAUCGGAAUUACUGGGCGUAAAGCGUGCGUAGACGGUUAUGUAAGUCAGGUGUGAAAGCCCCGGGCUCAACCUGGGAAUUGCAUUUGAGACUGCAUAGCUAGGGUGCGGAAGAGGGAAGCGGAAUUUCCGGUGAUAGCGGUGAAAUGCGUAGAUAUCGGGAGGAACACCCAUGGCGAAGGCAGCAGCUGGCGAGAC
Molecule: ribosomal RNA, 215 nt
Filed under: uncultured bacterium
Lineage: Bacteria
Description: partial 16S ribosomal RNA
Rfam family: Bacterial small subunit ribosomal RNA
Source: RNAcentral